RNAcentral lists this ribosomal RNA (433 nucleotides) under uncultured bacterium. RNAcentral describes it as "partial 16S ribosomal RNA". It matches the Rfam family "Bacterial small subunit ribosomal RNA", at positions 29 to 507 of the family's 1533-position model. The record is from RNAcentral.
AACGAACGCUGGCGGCAUGCCUAACACAUGCAAGUCGAACGAGACCUUCGGGUCUAGUGGCGCACGGGUGCGUAACGCGUGGGAAUCUGCCCUUGGGUUCGGAAUAACAGUUGGAAACGACUGCUAAUACCGGAUGAUGACGUAAGUCCAAAGAUUUAUCGCCCAAGGAUGAGCCCGCGUAGGAUUAGCUAGUUGGUGAGGUAAAGGCUCACCAAGGCGACGAUCCUUAGCUGGUCUGAGAGGAUGAUCAGCCACACUGGGACUGAGACACGGCCCAGACUCCUACGGGAGGCAGCAGUGGGGAAUAUUGGACAAUGGGCGAAAGCCUGAUCCAGCAAUGCCGCGUGAGUGAUGAAGGCCUUAGGGUUGCAAAGCUCUUUUACCCGGGAUGAUAAUGACAGUACCGGGAGAAUAAGCGCCGGCUAACUCCGUG